RNAcentral lists this ribosomal RNA (253 nucleotides) under uncultured bacterium. RNAcentral describes it as "partial 16S ribosomal RNA". It matches the Rfam family "Bacterial small subunit ribosomal RNA", at positions 524 to 776 of the family's 1533-position model. The record is from RNAcentral.
UACGUAGGGUGCGAGCGUUAAUCGGAAUUACUGGGCGUAAAGCGUGCGCAGGCGGUUUUGUAAGCCAGGUGUGAAAUCCCCAGGCUUAACCUGGGAAUGGCAUUUGGGACUGCAAGGCUGGAGUGUGGCAGAGGAGACUGGAAUUCCUGGUGUAGCAGUGAAAUGCGUAGAUAUCAGGAGGAAUACCGAUGGCGAAGGCAGGUCUCUGGGCUGACACUGACGCUCAUGCACGAAAGCGUGGGGAGCAAACAGG